Molecule: long non-coding RNA, 3707 nt
Organism: Girardinichthys multiradiatus
Lineage: Eukaryota; Metazoa; Chordata; Actinopteri; Cyprinodontiformes; Goodeidae
Exons: 2
Source: RefSeq, a predicted model, not a curated record
UUCUACGGAGUUUGUGCAACGUUUUCACUUUUAAUAUAUUAUUUCUUUGCUUUCCUGACUAACGGAGUCAGUUUGGGACGUGUUUUGGUGGAAUAGUUUCUCCAAGGACGUGGAAGUCAGGACUCAGGAGGACAUCGGGGAGUUUCCCACUUCGUCUCCUUUACAUUGAGAUUUUUUGUUAUUUUGUAAAGAAAAACGUUGUUUUUACAUCCAGCUCUGGGAUUCUAAGUUACAUUUAGAGUAAUGGGUGAAUUUCAGGGUGAUACUUGCUGUGAACUCUCUGAAUUUGUAACAUCUAAAAGUUUCCAAUAUGGCGACGGACCUUCUGUCUUCCCUGGCCGAGCUGAGGGAGGCUGGAGGGUGGAUCUACGGGACGUAACGUACCAGAAGAAUUACGCAUUUUUUCAGACAACGGAAGUAACAACACCGAUGUACACCAGGUCAUGCGUGUGUUUGGAUCCAGUUUGGAUCCUUCAGAGCUGCGGUUCUCCUGACGCUGGACGUUGGUGGGAGUUCGGUCUGAGCAGAACCACAUCUACUAUUCUAAGAAAGUACUCAUGAAUCAGUGCUUCUCUGCUCUGGGGGUUUGAGAGAACAGUCAGUUGAGGCAGAUGACCGCUCAUCCUGAGCCUGGUUCUGGUUCUGCUGGAGGUUUCCUGUUGAAAGGGAGUUUUUCCUCUCCACUGUCGCUACAUGCUCAUCCAGGAGGAGUUAAUGCUGCAAGUCACCGACUCCAUGGGAAAGUAAAUAAUCAAAGAACAGGGGCCUCAUGUACGAAAGAGUGCACAGAGCGCAGCUUUCAUACUAAGAGUUGGUGGUAGAGAGAAAUUAUGAAACUUGUGGUACACAAAAGAAUUUAGAUGGACGUAGCCUUCAUACAUCCCAAUUUGUGGUGAAUUUUGCGCAGCUUCACGUGAUGCUGGAACCCAUAAAUAAUAUGCAAAGCAGUAUAAAUAACCAGAAGGCACCCAUCAUGGGUCCAAAUAACCAUGGUAACAGGGGCGCUCAGAAAGGCAAGAAAGAGGAAACUUACUGGAAGUGAUGGUCUGGCCCCACAGAGCCCUGAUCCCAACCUCAUGGAGUGUGUCUGGGAUGACAUGAAGAGACAGAAGGAUGUGAGAAAGCCUCCAUCUACAGAAGAUCUGUGGUUAGUUCUCCAAGAUGUUUAGAACAACCUACCAGCCGAGUUCCUUCAAAAACUGUACAAGUGGACCUAGAAUUAGUUCUGUAAAGGUUUUCAUGGGUCAGUUAAAACAAAUAACCAGUUCAUUUGUGCCUCUUUUAUGCUCAUCAGCAAAGACUCUUGUAUGUCUGAAACAAGAUGUUGAAACCUGAAGAUCAACAGAAAAACCUGACUAAAUGUUUGGGUUUCAAUGUCGAAGUGAACCAACCUUCAUAGACAAUACAGAAAAUAUUCUGACCAAGUUAGCCACUAGAUGGCGACAUUGUUAACGGAUUCAUUUAAUUUUACUGCUUUAAAUCGGUUCUAGAUUAACAUUAAUUUUUACCUCGUCUUUCCUGCUGGAACGUGUUUGAUAUAAUCCUGUCAGUGUUUUAACACAGACAGACUUUUGGAUUAUGAAACAUUCAUUUCAUUGAAAUGAUAGAAAAAUAAAAUCCAACAUUUAGUUUUUUAUCAUUAGUUUGUUGUUCAAAUAAAGAACUACAAAUUAAAAUCCCUUCUCUACUUAAAGCAGCCAGAAACAAACAUUUAUCUUCAUGUCUUACCUGAAAAUAUUGCGUUAUAGUGGUUUGGUUUUUAUUUUUUGAGUUGGACAGAGACAGGUUAGUUUUAAGUCUUUUUCUCAGGUUUAGCUGAGAAAAAGACUUAAAACUUUUUCUCAGCUAAACUUUUCAAACAUCAGAUGUUUGAAAAACUGUCAGUGCUCCUGUAUGAACAUGAAUGUUUAUUUUUCUAAUUAGAUUGUUUCUAAAAAUACACGAUAUACAGAUGAAUAUACACUGAAAACAGAGUCAAUGACAUUUGUAACGCAAAACUUUGACGCAAUUACUAUUGAAUCUAAAAUACUGGCUGCUAGUUAUGAUUAAAUGUGAAAAUAAAAGAUUUUUCAGGAGGGCAUUUAAAAUGAAGAUUUAUCUGCAACACUGAAAAUAAAAUUGAGGAUGUAUUUAUUCAUGAGAAAAUAGGAAGCACAUUUUAGCCCCUUGGUCUUAAAACAGAACUACAAAAUAGUAAUUUAUCCUAAAAACACAAAAGAAUCACAUCACUGUUUUUGUGGUAUUAAAUAUAUAUACAGAUAAAAACAGUGUGAAACAUUUAUGCAAUUAGUGCUGGAAAACAUUGCAUAGCAGUUUUAAAUCACAUCCAUUACAGCAUAAUAGGAUGGAAUUAUAUAAAGUGGCAAAUGAUAUAUAGCUUGAAAGUGCUAGAGUAAAAGGCACAGACAGAAAAGUAAUGUUUCUAAAGUUCAGCAUACAUUUUAACACCGUUUUUCAGGAAGACGUGUUUGUGCAUGGAGUUUGCAUGUUCUCCUGUACAUGCGUGGGCUCUUUGCAGGCCCAGUGUGUGGCACAUAGCUGGAUUUAACAACACGCAUACAAUGUAAACAGUCUAGUAAAUAUAUAAAACUUCAAAGUAGUAAAAGCAGCAUAUAGUGAAUAUGUUACAGCAGAAGGUUAGAUACUCUAUAUUUCCAGAAGUAUGUCUACUUUUACAUGAACUUUAAUGACACCCUAUUCUUAAUCUAUGAGGUAAAAUAUGUUGAUGGAACCCCUUCCAACCACUGUGGUAACAUCUUCCUCAAGGUGUAGGAGUGUGGUCAUAAUCAGAUGAGAAAACCACAACUCCAAUUCAUCUCAAAAGGUGUUCAAGAAGGUUGAGGUCAGGACUGGGCAGCCAAGUCAAGUUGUGUGACCCAAUACUUUUGGCUAUAUAGUAUCUUUGGUACAGAAGCACCAGGAGGUUCAUGAGGUCAAAGGUUCUCCAGACAUCCUUCAGCUCCUCCUCUGGUAUUAGAUCUGUGAACAAAACAGACGUUCAGAUCUAAAUAUUCAAACAAAAAUCUGAUAACCGCUGCCAGCUUCACUACUGGGAAUUCUAAUGCUGAAACCCAGUAUUCAUGAGAAACAGAAGAGAAUGCUGUGGAGAGGAUGUGAGGGGUCAGAGGUCAGCCUCCUGUCUGCUUUGCCCAUUUUCAUAGUUAAAUUAAAUUACCUUUUAAAUCUCGUACCCUGAUCACUGAUUUUGUGCCGGAUUAUUAACAAAACCUCACCUCUGGAAGUUUUCUUCUUCAUUAAGUGUUCAUUUAAGCAUAAGUUUCUGGUUCCUGACUCAAUGAACGAUAAAAAGGCACAUGCUGAGGUUUUAAGGUCAAAUAGUUCAGUCCCUCCCAGAGUUACACCUCAGAAAGACAUCCUGUAAAGGAUAGAGUGAACCGAGACAGACUGGGAAUUCUGGGAUACGUCGUUUCUCCUUAGUAAACAGACACAGAGGUCCCCUUGCUGCUGUUACAGUUUAAAAUGGCUCCAAUGUUAAAGUUUCUCUUUUUCUUUCCACAUAUUAGGGGUUCUAAGCCUUUAAAGAAAAGAAUAAUCCCACCCACUCCAGUAAACCUGACUGGGAUUAAUGCCCAGUUAGUGUAUGUAUGUUUAUGUCAUUUGUUAAAAGCUGUUAGUAUUUUUUUUUAUCUUUUUGUUGUUUCAGAUCAAACAAAUUUACAUUUUAAAUAUAAGCUGUUAAAAUAAAA